UUCGCGGUAUGUGGUAUGCGUACUACGCGGUUCCGGUUGUGGCUCCGUGGGGUUUUUCCCAAACUUGACAGUUUGUGUUAUUAUGACUAUCGCGCAGAAUUUUUUUUAACCGAAAUCCACAAGUCCUUUAAUUACGAUAAUUUACCGCACGAGGGUAUGUGUGUACAUUGGCAAAUGGUGCAUGUGUAGUUACUAUGUUGUUGAGUGUCCGCCGUAAGCUGUUUGCUGGUUUCGUUGACGGUUGUGGUCAGUAACCAUCGUAAUACUCCAAUAAAGACAUCGAUCGAGAUUCAUGUGAAAAUAAUGACACUUGGACUUGGGUACCCGAGAUGGUGGUUAAUACGACACGGAAAUACCGACGGGAAACGUUUCAUCUAAAACCCCAUUAUGUCGGUCGUAUUUACACUUUUGACACGUUUGUUCGAUAUUGUUUUCAUUCACGGAGUUUACAGUUCCACAAUGCAACGGGAAAGUCGCUUCUGAAUAUGUGUAUUAUACGUCUAUAUUAUCUAUAUACCUAUAUUAUACAUACACGCAUUGUUCGCCGACUCUAGACUCGUUUUUUUUGUCGACGUCGCGUGUUUCGCAAGGUGCGUCCGAAAUCGUAUGAAUUUCUUGUCAGCCGUUCAAAAACACAUAUACGAUCCCGUGUACUAUAGAAGGCGUGUCUCCAGGCCGGUUAUGUAUAGAAGCAAUUCAAUAAUUCAGCGCACCAUCGAGUUCCUACCUACAAUUACGCCCCAGUUCGUUAAAAGUGCAAAUAAAAUGAUAUGAAAUGCCCUCAAGAAUUUUUUCAUUAAUUAUCAUAAAAAGGUGUUGCUCAAGAUCUCUUCCCAAUAUGACAAUAUGACAUUAAUAUGAUUGAUGUUUUUAAUAUAAACGUUAUAUUUUUAUAGUUGACCACUUCACGGACACCACUUAUUACCCGUUUUAUUUAAUUGUUGUCACAGAAUCAUCAAAUCAAAAAAAA
Molecule: long non-coding RNA, 970 nt
Organism: Rhopalosiphum padi (bird cherry-oat aphid)
Lineage: Eukaryota; Metazoa; Arthropoda; Insecta; Hemiptera; Aphididae
Exons: 5
Source: RefSeq, a predicted model, not a curated record